This 545-nucleotide ribosomal RNA is filed under the name uncultured Glomeromycotina. RNAcentral's name for it is "SSU rRNA". It matches the Rfam family "Eukaryotic small subunit ribosomal RNA", at positions 548 to 1098 of the family's 1831-position model. Lineage: Eukaryota; Fungi; Glomeromycota. The record is from RNAcentral.
UUGGAGGGCAAGUCUGGUGCCAGCAGCCGCGGUAAUUCCAGCUCCAAUAGCGUAUAUUAAAGUUGUUGCAGUUAAAAAGCUCGUAGUUGGAUUUCGGGGUUCUACCGUUGGUCGGGCUUUGUCUGUACUGGCGUGUAGAAUUUCUACCUUCUGGGGAACCACCAUGUUAUUAAUUUAGCGUGGUGGGAAACCAGGACCUUUACCUUGAAAAAAUUAGAGUGUUCAAAGCAGGCUUAUGUCUGAAUACAUUAGCAUGGAAUAAUAGAAUAGGACGGUGGUCCUGUUUUGUUGGUUUCUGAAUCACCGUAAUGAUUAAUAGGGAUAGUUGGGGGCAUUAGUAUUCAAUUGUCAGAGGUGAAAUUCUUGGAUUUAUUGAAGACUAACUUCUGCGAAAGCAUUUGCCAAGGAUGUUUUCAUUAAUCAAGAACGAAAGUUAGGGGAUCGAAGACGAUCAGAUACCGUCGUAGUCUUAACCAUAAACUAUGCCGACUAGGGAUCGGAUGAUGCUAAUGUUUUAAUGACUCAUUCGGCGCCUUACGGGAAAC